This 385-nucleotide ribosomal RNA is filed under the name uncultured bacterium. RNAcentral's name for it is "bacterial SSU rRNA". It matches the Rfam family "Bacterial small subunit ribosomal RNA", at positions 30 to 415 of the family's 1533-position model. The record is from RNAcentral.
AUUGAACGCUGGCGGCAUGCCUUACACAUGCAAGUCGAACGGCAGCACGGGAGCAAUCCUGGUGGCGAGUGGCGAACGGGUGAGUAAAGUAUCGGAACGUACCUUUCAGUGGGGGAUAACGUAGCGAAAGUUACGCUAAUACCGCAUAUUCUGUGAGCAGGAAAGCAGGGGAUCGCAAGACCUUGCGCUGAUUGAGCGGCCGAUAUCAGAUUAGCUAGUUGGUGAGGUAAAGGCUCACCAAGGCGACGAUCUGUAGCGGGUCUGAGAGGAUGAUCCGCCACACUGGAACUGAGACACGGUCCAGACUCCUACGGGAGGCAGCAGUGGGGAAUUUUGGACAAUGGGCGCAAGCCUGAUCCAGCCAUGCCGCGUGAGUGAAGAAGGC